This is a long non-coding RNA of Thalassophryne amazonica, 326 nucleotides long. RefSeq lists it as uncharacterized. Lineage: Eukaryota; Metazoa; Chordata; Actinopteri; Batrachoidiformes; Batrachoididae. The transcript has 2 exons. The record is from RefSeq and is a predicted model, not a curated record.
AUGUUGACGAAGCUCCACCAGGUCCCAAAAAUUUGCAGCUUAAGGUUGAAGGAGAAAAAGAUGAGCCACUGGACUUAGAAGGUGAACACGAGGAGGAACAGAAAGAAGCUGAAGAUCAAUAAGCUCCCAGCGGACAGCCUGCCUCUCUUCAUUGUGGUGCUGAAACCACCAUGAAGCCUCAAAGACCAGAGACCGAUUCCAACUCAGGUCUGAUCUUCAUCAACGCUCUGACCAUCAACAUCAUCAACAAACAGCAAACGUCUGAGAGGAAGGAGAUCAUGUCAAAGUCUGUGACAACAUGAAAUAAAACCUUUGUCUCUUCAUCA